This 428-nucleotide ribosomal RNA is filed under the name uncultured bacterium. RNAcentral's name for it is "bacterial SSU rRNA". It matches the Rfam family "Bacterial small subunit ribosomal RNA", at positions 355 to 775 of the family's 1533-position model. The record is from RNAcentral.
UGGGGAAUAUUGCGCAAUGGGCGAAAGCCUGACGCAGCGACGCCGCGUGAGGGAUGAAGGUUUUCGGAUCGUGAACCUCUGUCAGAAGGGAAGAAACUACAUUGUGCUAAUCAGCAGUGUACUGACGGUACCUUCAAAGGAAGCACCGGCUAACUCCGUGCCAGCAGCCGCGGUAAUACGGAGGGUGCAAGCGUUAAUCGGAAUUACUGGGCGUAAAGCGCACGUAGGCUGUAGUGUAAGUCAGGGGUGAAAUCCCACGGCUCAACCGUGGAACUGCCUUUGAUACUGCACAACUUGAAUCCGGGAGAGGGUGGCGGAAUUCCAGGUGUAGGAGUGAAAUCCGUAGAUAUCUGGAGGAACAUCAGUGGCGAAGGCGGCCACCUGGACCGGUAUUGACGCCGAGGUGCGAAAGCGUGGGGAGCAAACAG